This 425-nucleotide ribosomal RNA is filed under the name uncultured bacterium. RNAcentral's name for it is "partial 16S ribosomal RNA". It matches the Rfam family "Bacterial small subunit ribosomal RNA", at positions 354 to 796 of the family's 1533-position model. The record is from RNAcentral.
GUGGGGAAUCUUAGACAAUGGGCGCAAGCCUGAUCCAGCCAUGCCGCGUGAGUGAUGAAGGCCUUAGGGUUGUAAAGCUCUUUCAGUGGGGACGAUAAUGACGGUACCCACAGAAGAAGCCCCGGCUAACUUCGUGCCAGCAGCCGCGGUAAUACGAAGGGGGCUAGCGUUGUUCGGAUUUACUGGGCGUAAAGCGCACGUAGGCGGAUCGUUAAGUCGGGGGUGAAAUCCUGGAGCUCAACUCCAGAACUGCCUUCGAUACUGGCGAUCUUGAGUCCGGAAGAGGUGAGUGGAACUCCUAGUGUAGAGGUGGAAUUCGUAGAUAUUAGGAAGAACACCAGUGGCGAAGGCGGCUCACUGGUCCGGUACUGACGCUGAGGUGCGAAAGCGUGGGGAGCAAACAGGAUUAGAAACCCUAGUAGUCC